Molecule: transfer RNA, 72 nt
Filed under: Bos taurus (domestic cattle)
Lineage: Eukaryota; Metazoa; Chordata; Mammalia; Artiodactyla; Bovidae
Also listed under: 3 other names
Rfam family: tRNA
About the family: Transfer RNA (tRNA) molecules are approximately 80 nucleotides in length. Their secondary structure includes four short double-helical elements and three loops (D, anti-codon, and T loops).
Source: Rfam by way of RNAcentral
UCCCUGGUAGCUUAGUUGGUAAAGAAUCUGCCUGUAAUGCAGGAGAACAGGGUUUGAUCCCUGGGUUGGGAA